UUACCUUUCAAAACUGACUGUCCCUCGCUCUCUCUUUCCAUCUGCUACGAGACUAUGAGAGUCAUAGCUUUAAUUAGAGUCAAAACUGAAAAACUGCAUUUAUCUCAUCUCUUGUCCUACAGCCUAUUUCAAAUACUCAACUAUCCCAAUCUCAGUCUCAUCUAACUUCUAAUUGAAAAACCAUUCAGAGUUUAUGUCCACACAUGUACAGAUAGAUCAGGAAGAAGCAGCCCUAGAAAUUGAAGGCGGAUCGUGUUGCUGGAUCAGUUUUGGUGGAUCGGAAAGGAGAUGACGUCGGUGCUCCGAUCGGCGUGAUUGAUGACAUCGUCGGAGUAUGCCUUCUUUCUGGUUGGUUCACCUCUCCAAUCGCUGUUCUGUUUGAGAUCCAGCCUGUGUUAGGUUGGAUCCGGUCCGAUCCGUUGGAUGGCUGAAAUUGUGAUGCUUGGAUUGGCAUCUAUCACCUAGUUUGUUGUUGAGCAUAAUGUAUCGGCUUUCUUCCUCUCUCUCUAUUAUCUUCGAACCCAGAUCCGAUCCCCAAUCUAAGAAAAAGAUAGUUUGAUAUCAGCUUAGAAGGAGCGAGCCAAGAGGACAAGUAUUGAUGUGUGGACUGCUUUGAUUAUCAGCCUCAGCUGAGCGUUGAAUGUUGGUUUUCCAGAGGGUACGACUUCGAAAAGAAAGGAGCAAAACAAAAUAGUAGCAGCUACAUUUUUCUUUUCUUAUUGUGUUGUUGUAUUAUGUUUUUCGUUGUUCCCUUGUAAAUAUUUACUGGGGUAUUGGCGUUCAUUCUCCGCUCCCUCUCUGUAUCAUUUCUCGAAUAAAUUAGAUAUUUUGAUGAUUUCUGGA
Molecule: long non-coding RNA, 843 nt
Organism: Rosa chinensis
Lineage: Eukaryota; Viridiplantae; Streptophyta; Magnoliopsida; Rosales; Rosaceae
Exons: 2
Source: RefSeq, a predicted model, not a curated record